UGAGAAGGGCAGAAAGAGAUGGCUGUUCGCAUUUGGUCUUCUUCUCCCUCUCUCCUGAAGAUGAGCGCCGCGUCGCCGCCCAACCCUCUCCCUCCUCCCUUCCCAGAUCUGCGGCCCAACACGCCCCGCCUCCUCUCCCCCCUGUUGACGGACACUGGACCUUCCGUCGUCUUACCCUGUCCAAGACCAAACUCGUCUUCUCAUCUGAAGCCGAUCUAGAUCUUGCUCUCUGACCGGUUCCCAGGCGGGCGUCCCUCUGCUUCCUGUCCUUGCACUUUGACGGGUACCCAGGUGCGUGUCCCUGUUCUUUUGCUCCGACGGCCAGCUGCCCAGAAGUUCCCCUGCUUCCUCUUCGAUUGGCAGCCAAACGGCACACAACUGCGAGCAUGGUAGCGUGUGAAGGUACAAGACGGUCUUUGCAAGACAUCAGGCUCUGCUCCAGCUAUUGAUAUCCAUUUUCAGCACUUGAAUCCGCUUGGAUCACGGCAAGACAGAUAGAAGCAGGACGAAGAGCAAUAACAUGAUAUGCACGUCGUGGUGGAAAAAUAUGGGAACAUAUUCUUACGGGUGGUCAUGGUCUGCUGGUUGAUGGGCACAAACAAGUAAUUGAGGCUCUCGCUCAAGGUCUUAAUCAGAGUUGUAGAUAUUGUAGAUACUUGGCCUGACCAACUCAAGGUCUUGACACCCCUCUUAAUCAGAGGUGUAAAUAUUUUGCCUUACUAGAGUAGCAGAUAAUUGUCCUAACCAACAACACAUGUACAUGCUGACUUAGGUGUUCUGCUAGCUGUACGAAACAUUAGCUAUGUUUACUUCUUGAAUUCUGGCUUGAAAUUGACCAUGAGUCUGUAAUUGAACAAGAAUCUGAUGUGUACAUUGAAUUUUAGCAGCAAUUUAUAAUUUUGAAUUA
Long non-coding RNA from Triticum urartu, 907 nucleotides. RefSeq lists it as uncharacterized. Lineage: Eukaryota; Viridiplantae; Streptophyta; Magnoliopsida; Poales; Poaceae. The record is from RefSeq and is a predicted model, not a curated record.